This 1027-nucleotide ribosomal RNA is filed under the name Staphylococcus pasteuri. Its description in RNAcentral is "bacterial SSU rRNA". It matches the Rfam family "Bacterial small subunit ribosomal RNA", at positions 38 to 1032 of the family's 1533-position model. The record is from RNAcentral. Lineage: Bacteria; Bacillati; Bacillota; Bacilli; Caryophanales; Staphylococcaceae.
GGGGGGGGGCCCUAUACAUGCCAGUCGAGCGAACAGAUAAGGAGCUUGCUCCUUUGACGUUAGCGGCGGACGGGUGAGUAACACGUGGAUAACCUACCUAUAAGACUGGGAUAACUUCGGGAAACCGGAGCUAAUACCGGAUAACAUAUUGAACCGCAUGGUUCAAUAGUGAAAGGCGGCUUUGCUGUCACUUAUAGAUGGAUCCGCGCCGUAUUAGCUAGUUGGUAAGGUAACGGCUUACCAAGGCAACGAUACGUAGCCGACCUGAGAGGGUGAUCGGCCACACUGGAACUGAGACACGGUCCAGACUCCUACGGGAGGCAGCAGUAGGGAAUCUUCCGCAAUGGGCGAAAGCCUGACGGAGCAACGCCGCGUGAGUGAUGAAGGUCUUCGGAUCGUAAAACUCUGUUAUCAGGGAAGAACAAAUGUGUAAGUAACUGUGCACAUCUUGACGGUACCUGAUCAGAAAGCCACGGCUAACUACGUGCCAGCAGCCGCGGUAAUACGUAGGUGGCAAGCGUUAUCCGGAAUUAUUGGGCGUAAAGCGCGCGUAGGCGGUUUUUUAAGUCUGAUGUGAAAGCCCACGGCUCAACCGUGGAGGGUCAUUGGAAACUGGAAAACUUGAGUGCAGAAGAGGAAAGUGGAAUUCCAUGUGUAGCGGUGAAAUGCGCAGAGAUAUGGAGGAACACCAGUGGCGAAAGCGACUUUCUGGUCUGUAACUGACGCUGAUGUGCGAAAGCGUGGGGAUCAAACAGGAUUAGAUACCCUGGUAGUCCACGCCCGUAACGAUGAGUGCUAAGUGUUAGGGGGUUUCCCGCCCCUUAGUGCUGCAGCUAACGCAUUAAGGCACUCCCGCCUGGGGGAGUACGACCGCAAGGUUGAAACUCAAAGGAAUUUGACGGGGACCCGCCACAGGCGGUGGGAGCAUGUGGAUUUAAGUCCGAGCCACGCGAAGAACGUUAACAGAAUCCUGACAUCCCUUUGGAACUGCUCUAGAAGAAUGAGUCAUCCCCUCGGGGGACAAAGU